AGCUUCUACAAAUACACUCCUACAAAACACAAACAUCCUCACUCUCCUCUCUCUUAGCCUGCAUAUAAUACUUGCGCACAUAUAUGAAGAAACCCUCAUCUCCUUCAUAUUUUCUUUACACACACAGAAUAUGGACCAUAAAUCAAACUCACAAACAAGAACACCCCUCAAACCUCUUACUCUCGGUCUCCCCUUCCCCCUCCGGUGAACCGGCCGGAGCCGGUGGUCUUCUCCGACGAUCGACGCACCCCCACCCCCUGUUAACAAAAGGACGGCCACCACCACCGUCUAGUGGCGUCGGCGAUGGUACAUCGAGAGAGAGAGAGAUCGGUGAUGAGAGAGAAACCGAGAGCGAUAGAGUGAGAUCAGAGAAAUCGGCGGCGGUGCGGCGGCGUAAGAGUCGGGGAAACAAGACGGGGAGCCGGCGACUGAGUCUUCCGGCGAUGAUUCGCCGACGGCGACGGAGGUGUUCUGAAUCUUCUCCGGUAAACUUCCGGUAUAACCCCCAUCAUUUCCUUUUAUUUCUUGAAGAAUGAGGAUGAAGAUGAUAUUGUUUGUUGCCGACCAAUUUCCGGUUCCGAUUUGUUCAGCUGGUUCGUUUCACUCGUGGUUCAGGAUUGAUUCAGAUUUCAGGAUGGUGUAGCUUUCGGGUUCCGGGUUUGGUCCGACGGGUUUCAUUGUUAGGAGCUCACGGGUGACGUCUCGGGUUCGGUCAAACAUCGGUCAACAGAUCAGUUCGGGUCAACGGCUCGGGUCAACAGUGGUCAAGUUUCUUUCGAGUCAGGCGGCUCGGUCAGAUUCAGCUUCGGUUCGGUUGACUCGGUCAAACCGAGUCAACCCGGUCAAACUCAGUCAACAUAGCAAGUCAACUCAGCGGGUCAACCCGGUUGACUCGGUCAGCUCAGUAAACCCUUUUCGGCGUUUCGACACGAAGACUUGGUAAAAGUUAACGACAUGUUUACUAAUUUUGUUAAUCAUUCCUUAUUUUAUUUCGUGAACGAGCUCGAACCGACUUAGUUUAGUGUUUAAUUUACAUUUUGUCGUUUUACGAAAAUCAUCCAUAUUGAUAUUGAUUAUAUGGUUGAAUUAUGAAAAAUAUAUCGACACUUAGAUGUCGGGAUCA
Long non-coding RNA from Helianthus annuus (common sunflower), 1123 nucleotides. RefSeq lists it as uncharacterized. The record is from RefSeq and is a predicted model, not a curated record. The transcript has 2 exons. Lineage: Eukaryota; Viridiplantae; Streptophyta; Magnoliopsida; Asterales; Asteraceae.